AGCUCCAAUGUGAUCUGGGUUCUGAUAUUAUCUCUGCGCUCUGCAGUGUGCCAUGGGCACAUGAGGCUGACUGCAUAGAUAAAAGAACAAGAGGGUCAAAUCCAUUAACUGGGUAAUUCAACUUUAGUCAGUACAUUUUACGCAAGAUUACAAGAUGAGACAAAAGAAUGUCAGAAGUCAUAACCAUGCCUGAUGACAACAGUUUCCUUUGGCCUGGUGUGGUAUUGUAAAUUGUCGCUUUUAGACCAACUUUUUAGUGAUAGACCCUCUCUAUGCUUUUUGUUGUAAGCUACUGCAGAUUCUUGCCACAGGUAUGAAGUAAAUUCUGUUAAUAGCCUUGAUUUUUCACCUGUGCCACCAUAUAUAUCUUUGCCAUGGCCUCAUGAUGGAUGGAAUAUACUUCCCUGCCCCUUGACUUGAUACUUGACCAUGUAACUUUUUUGGAACAAUGAAAGAUGAUGGAAAUGUCAGUAUACCUGUGCUCAGGUAUACUGUGCUAGGUCUUAAGAAGCCUCCAGUGUUUCCAGCUAUACAUCUGCAAUCACCAUGAGAAGGACCUGCUCAAGCAAACCACUAGUCACAGGAGGAGAAUGAGAGACACAUGGAGCAGAGCUGCCCUCAGAGUCCACCUAGAUUAGUUGUCAGCAGACCUCCAGUGGACUUGUAGAAACACAAGCAAUAAUAAAAGGCUGUUGUUUUAAG
Homo sapiens (human) is the source of this 702-nucleotide long non-coding RNA. Ensembl annotates it as long intergenic non-protein coding RNA 1753. The record is from Ensembl. Lineage: Eukaryota; Metazoa; Chordata; Mammalia; Primates; Hominidae.